UACAGAGGGGGCAAGCGUUAUUCGGAAUUAUUGGGCGUAAAGGGCGCGUAGGCGGCUUGGCAAGUGGAUGGUGAAAUCCCUCGGCUUAACCGAGGAACUGCCGUCCAAACUGCUUAGCUUGAGACCGGGAGAGGUGAGUGGAAUUCCCAGUGUAGCGGUGAAAUGCGUAGAUAUUGGGAGGAACACCAGUGGCGAAGGCGGCUCACUGGACCGGUACUGACGCUGAGGCGCGAAAGCGUGGGAGCAAACGGG
Molecule: ribosomal RNA, 252 nt
Filed under: uncultured bacterium
Lineage: Bacteria
Description: partial 16S ribosomal RNA
Rfam family: Bacterial small subunit ribosomal RNA
Source: RNAcentral